This is a long non-coding RNA of Oncorhynchus keta (chum salmon), 2601 nucleotides long. RefSeq lists it as uncharacterized. The record is from RefSeq and is a predicted model, not a curated record. NCBI's taxonomy places the organism in Eukaryota, Metazoa, Chordata, Actinopteri, Salmoniformes, Salmonidae. The transcript is spliced from 2 exons.
AGUUUGUGUCGUUUGGUCGACCUGCUGAUAGUGUCGGCUUUAGUUCCAGCCAAGCGAGGGAUUCAGUUUGUGUCGUCAGGUCGACCUGCUGUUAGUGUCGGCUUUAGUUCCAGCCAAGCGCUACCAGAACCGGACUCAACUGAUCACUCUGACAUAAAUAGAUAAUGAUUGAUAAGAGGUUCUGUAAUAAAGACGUUGAUUAGAUCAAUGAGUUGUUACUGUUGAGUCGGAGCAAAAACCUGCAGCUGUAGGGUCAGAUUAGACCCCCUGGUUAGACUCCAAACAGCUGUAGGGUCAGAUUAGACCCCCUGGUUUGACUCCAAACAGCUGUAGGGUCAGAUUGGACCCCUGGUUAGACUCCAAACAGCUGUAGGGUCAGAUUAGACCCCCUGGUUAGACUCCAAACAGCUGUAGGGUCAGAUUAGACCCCCUGGUUAGACUCCAAACAGCUGUAGGGUCAGAUUAGACCCCCUGGUUUGACUCCAAACAGCUGUAGGGUCAGAUUAGACCCCCUGGUUAGACUCCAAACAGCUGUAGGGUCAGAUUAGACCCCCUGGUUUGACUCCAAACAGCUGUAGGGUCAGAUUAGACCCCCUGGUUUGACUCCAAACAGCUGUAGGGUCAGAUUAGACCCCCUGGUUAGACUCCAAACAGCUGUAGGGUCAGAUUAGACCCCCUGGUUAGACUCCAAACAGCUGUAGGGUCAGAUUAGACCCCCUGGUUUGACUCCAAACAGCUGUAGGGUCAGAUUAGACCCCCUGGUUUGACUCCAAACAGCUGUAGGGUCAGAUUAGACCCCCUGGUUAGACUCCAAACAGCUGUAGGGUCAGAUUAGACCCCCUGGUUUGACUCCAAACAGCUGUAGGGUCAGAUUAGACCCCCUGGUUAGACUCCAAACAGCUGUAGGGUCAGAUUGGACCCCUGGUUUGACUCCCAAACAGCUGUAGGGUCAGAUUGGACCCCCUGGUUAGACUCCAAACAGCUGUAGGGUCAGAUUGGACCCCCUGGUUUGACCCCAAACAGCUGUAGGGUCAGAUUGGACCCCUGGUUAGACCCCAAACAGCUGUAGGGUCAGAUUGGACCCCUGGUUAGACUCCAAACAGCUGUAGGGUCAGAUUAGACCCCCUGGUUUGACUCCAAACAGCUGUAGGGUCAGAUUAGACCCCCUGGUUUGACUCCAAACAGCUGUAGGGUCAGAUUAGACCCCCUGGUUUGACUCCAAACAGCUGUAGGGUCAGAUUAGACCCCCUGGUUUGACUCCAAACAGCUGUAGGGUCAGAUUAGACCCCCUGGUUAGACUCCAAACAGCUGUAGGGUCAGAUUAGACCCCCUGGUUUGACUCCAAACAGCUGUAGGGUCAGAUUGGACCCCCUGGUUAGACUCCAAACAGCUGUAGGGUCAGAUUAGACCCCCUGGUUAGACUCCAAACAGCUGUAGGGUCAGAUUAGACCCCCUGGUUUGACUCCAAACAGCUGUAGGGUCAGAUUGGACCCCCUGGUUGACCCCAAACAGCUGUAGGGUCAGAUUGGACCCCUGGUUAGACCCCAAACAGCUGUAGGGUCAGAUUGGACCCCCUGGUUUGACCCCAAACAGCUGUAGGUUCAGAUUGGACCCCUGGUUAGACUCCAAACAGCUGUAGGGUCAGAUUGGACCCCCUGGUUUGACUCCAAACAGCUGUAGGGUCAGAUUAGACCCCCUGGUUUGACUCCAAACAGCUGUAGGGUCAGAUUAGACCCCCUGGUUUGACUCCAAACAGCUGUAGGGUCAGAUUAGACCCCCUGGUUUGACCCCAAACCCUCAGAUGAUCAUGUGGAAUCAACAAAUCAACUUGUUUUUUUCUAGUUAUUUUUCAGACAUGAUUUAAAAUCUGUUGUUUUUCUAUUUUUCUUUUUUCAAUCCUCUGUUUGUUUUGACACUUUGUCUUCGGUCACUGGAUGAUUUAGUCUGCAUCUGAAAUGGCACCCUGUUCCCUAUGUAGGGCUCUGAUCAGAAGUAGUGCACUCUGUAGGGAAUAGGGUGUUAUAGAGCUCUGGCACCCUAUUCCCUAUGUAGGGCUCUGAUCAGAAGUAGUGCACUAUGUAGGGAAUAGGGUGUUAUAGAGCCCUGGCACCCUGUUCCCUAUGUAGGGCUCUGAUCAGAAGUAGUGCACUAUGUAGGGAAUAGGGUGUUAUAGAGCCCUGGCACCCUAGUUCCCUAUGUAGGGCUCUGAUCAGAAGUAGUGCACUAUGUAGGGAAUAGGGUGUUAUAGAGCCCUGGCACCCUAUUCCCUAUGUAGGGCUCUGAUCAGAAGUAGUGCACUAUGUAGGGAAUAGGGUGUUAUAGAGCCCUGGCACCCUACUCCCUAUGUAGGGCUCUGAUCAGAAGUAGUGCACUAUGUAGGGAAUAGGGUGUUAUAGAGCUCUGGCACCCUAUUCCCUAUGUAGGGCUCUGAUCAGAAGUAGUGCACUCUGUAGGGAAUAGUGUGCCAUUUGGGACGUAGGUUUACUCUCUGUUGCUUUUUUUGUUUUGUGUUUUUUGUACAGUUCUAGAUGUUCAGUAAAGAUCCUGUUUUGUAACUAUUUGAAAACCCCCGUUCUGUGAACUAAUAAAGUGAUGUAUUAA